GAUGAACGCUGGCUGUGUGCCUAAUACAUGCAUGUCGAGCGAAGCACUUUUGUGCUUAGCGGCGAAUGGGUGAGUAACACGUACUUAACCUACCCUCAAGAUUGGGACAACACUUGGAAACGAGUGCUAAUACCAAAUACGUAUUUUUAUCGCAUGAUAGAUAUAUAAGAGGAGCUUCGGCUUCACUAGAGGAUGGGAGUGCGCUACAUUAGUUAGUUGGUAGGGUAAUGGCCUACCAAGACUAUGAUGUAUAGCGGGGCCGAGAGGCUGAUCCGCCACACUGGGACUGAGAUACGGCCCAGACUCCUACGGGAGGCAGCAGUAGGGAAUUUUCCACAAUGAACGAAAGUUUGAUGGAGCGACACAGCGUGCAGGAUGAAGGUCUUCGGAUUGUAAACUGCUGUUAUAAGAGAAGAAAAACCCUGGUAGGUAAUGACCAGGACUUGACGGUACCUUAUCAGAAAGCGACGGCUAACUAUGUGCCAGCAGCCGCGGUAAUACAUAGGUCGCAAGCGUUAUCCGGAAUUAUUGGGCGUAAAGAGUUCGUAGGUGGUUUUGUAAGUCUGAAGUUAAAUACCGGGGCUCAACCCCGGCCCGCUUUGGAUACUGCAAAACUAGAGUAAUAGAGAGGUUAGUGGAACUCCAAGUGAAGCGGUGGAAUGCGUAGAUAUUUGGAAGAACACCAAUGGCGAAGGCAACUAACUGGAUAUUAACUGACACUGAGGAACGAAAGCGUGGGUAGCAAACAGG
This 750-nucleotide ribosomal RNA is filed under the name uncultured bacterium. RNAcentral's name for it is "bacterial SSU rRNA". It matches the Rfam family "Bacterial small subunit ribosomal RNA", at positions 28 to 776 of the family's 1533-position model. The record is from RNAcentral.